RNAcentral lists this ribosomal RNA (1470 nucleotides) under Vibrio parahaemolyticus. RNAcentral's name for it is "partial 23S ribosomal RNA". It matches the Rfam family "Bacterial large subunit ribosomal RNA", at positions 1 to 1531 of the family's 2925-position model. The record is from RNAcentral. Lineage: Bacteria; Pseudomonadati; Pseudomonadota; Gammaproteobacteria; Vibrionales; Vibrionaceae.
GGUUAAGUGACUAAGCGUACACGGUGGAUGCCUUGGCAGUCAGAGGCGAUGAAAGACGUAGUAACUUGCGAUAAGCCCAGAUUAGGUAGUAACAACCAUUUGAGUCUGGGAUUUCUGAAUGGGGAAACCCACUUACAUAAGUAAGUAUCAUUAACUGAAUACAUAGGUUAAUGAGGCGAACCGGGGGAACUGAAACAUCUAAGUACCCCGAGGAAAAGAAAUCAACCGAGAUUCCGAAAGUAGCGGCGAGCGAAAUUGGACUAGCCCUUAAGCUUUACACGCGUUAGACGAACGGUCUGGAAAGUCCGACGAUACAGGGUGAUAGUCCCGUAGUUGACGACGUGUGUUCAGUGAAAUCGAGUAGGGCGGGACACGUGAUAUCCUGUCUGAAUAUGGGGGGACCAUCCUCCAAGGCUAAAUACUACUGACUGACCGAUAGUGAACCAGUACCGUGAGGGAAAGGCGAAAAGAACCCCUGUGAGGGGAGUGAAAUAGAACCUGAAACCGUGUACGUACAAGCAGUAGGAGCAGGCUUUGUCCUGUGACUGCGUACCUUUUGUAUAAUGGGUCAGCGACUUAUAUUCAGUGGCAAGGUUAACCAUCUAGGGGAGCCGUAGGGAAACCGAGUCUUAACUGGGCGUUCAGUCUCUGGAUAUAGACCCGAAACCAGGUGAUCUAGCCAUGGGCAGGUUGAAGGUUGAGUAACAUCAACUGGAGGACCGAACCGACUAAUGUUGAAAAAUUAGCGGAUGACUUGUGGCUAGGGGUGAAAGGCCAAUCAAACCUGGAGAUAGCUGGUUCUCCCCGAAAGCUAUUUAGGUAGCGCCUCGGACGAAUACUACUGGGGGUAGAGCACUGUUAAGGCUAGGGGGUCAUCCCGACUUACCAACCCUUUGCAAACUCCGAAUACCAGUAAGUACUAUCCGGGAGACACACGGCGGGUGCUAACGUCCGUCGUGGAGAGGGAAACAACCCAGACCGCCAGCUAAGGUCCCAAAUUACUACUAAGUGGGAAACGAUGUGGGAAGGCUCAGACAGCCAGGAUGUUGGCUUAGAAGCAGCCAUCAUUUAAAGAAAGCGUAAUAGCUCACUGGUCGAGUCGGCCUGCGCGGAAGAUGUAACGGGGCUAAGUAGUAAACCGAAGCUGCGGCAAUACUCUUUGAGUAUUGGGUAGGGGAGCGUUCUGUAAGCGGUUGAAGGUGUGUGGUAACGCAUGCUGGACGUAUCAGAAGUGCGAAUGCUGACAUGAGUAACGAUAAAGGGGGUGAAAAACCUCCUCGCCGGAAGACCAAGGGUUCCUGUCCAACGUUAAUCGGGGCAGGGUAAGUCGACCCCUAAGGCGAGGCCGAAAGGCGUAGUCGAUGGGAAACGGGUUAAUAUUCCCGUACUUCUUACAAUUGCGAUGGGGGGACGGAGAAGGCUAGGUGGGCCUGGCGACGGUUGUCCAGGUUCAAGUGCGUAGGCUUAAGA